GAGAGUAUAGCUUAAUGGUAAAGCACAUGUCUUCAAAAUAUGCAAUAGUGGUUCGAUUCCCUUUGUUUCCA
This is a non-coding RNA of Metschnikowia aff. pulcherrima, 71 nucleotides long. The record is from the annotation of a GenBank genome assembly. Lineage: Eukaryota; Fungi; Ascomycota; Pichiomycetes; Serinales; Metschnikowiaceae.